CCCGCCUCCUACACACAGGUGGAUUCUUAGUUGGGCUCACAGCUAGCAUCUCGAAUUUUAAGUUCCCGUAUGUGGAUGGACACACACACACACACACACACACACACACACAACUGUACAUGCAUUGUCUCUUUGACUAUAUCCAUGAACACAUACAUGCAGCAUUCUAUACACAUUUAAUACCUAACAUUGCCUUUGUAUCAGCAUUUUCACCGUUUUGCUUGAAUGGUCUUACACUGUUUUGAGGUCAGGUCCGCUCAAUAAUCUCACUUUACAGAUGUGGAGACCAAAGUUCUGCAAGAUUCAAGAUAGCUGUCCCCAAGAACUAUGCCAGGACCAACUGAGCCUAUGUGUCUGUAAAUCCCACGUGUGCUUCACCUGAAUCACUAAACCAGGUGUGGUGGGACAUGCCCGUAAUCCCAGCACUAAGAAGGCAGAGGCAGGAGGAUCACUGUGAGUUUGAGGCCAGCCUGGUUUGCCCUGUCUCGAAAAACCAUAAACAAAAGCUCUCUCUCUCUGAGUGUGUGUGUGUGUGUGUGUGUGUCCACAUACUACUUGGGAGAAACAGCUCUAGUCCUGACUACCUUCAAAUGUCAUCUCUUCUAUGAAUUCCAUUCUAUUCGAUUCUACCCUACUCUUCUAAAGCCAGGUUCACUCUAAUUUCACGUGAACAGUUACAGCGUCCAUCACGUUUGUUCUGUGACCCCUGAGGAUCAUUGAGACAUCAGAGCGCGCUCAGUGGAUGGUGUCAGUGCUGAGUCCUGAUCUUAAAAUACCAGGCUUCCUCUGUGGCUUCAGAUGAGGCUCUUUACUUCUCUGGGAUUCCCCUUCAUAGAACCUGUCCGCCAUGGGCUGUUACAGAAUGGCCUGGAGGCCCAGACCUUCCCUUCCCAGAGCCACCACAGAUUUAGACGAGGUGGCCGCCCCCCGUGUGAGUUGACAUGUACACGGCCUAUGUGUGAUGCCGGGGAAACCCAACAGAUGGCCUGGCAAGCAUCCACCCUGGCUCCCAGGGUGCACUGUUUGUGGCAGCACAGGGCACAAGGAUGACAUGGUUUCAAGCUUGGGAGGGAGCACUUGAUCUGGCUGAAACUCCCAUUCUCUUAGGGAAAAUGUUAAUUUUAUUCCUUCCCUCCUCUUGUCUUUCUCCGUGUGCUAAUCUCUUCUUGGGUUUAGGGAAGACCAAGGCAAGGCCAUUUUGAUUGAGGUUAAGAGGUAUAUAUGGACAGAGAAAUGCAGAGACUAAGUCACGGGUCAGAAUUGUCUGUACAAAUGGAUGAUGCCUAUGCUCUGAUCCCUGCUGGGUCACUAAGUGACUGCAUGAGCGUAGACCCAACAGCUUCCCUGUCUGUGCGGACGGGACGGGAGGCACUGGCUGGGUCCCAUCCAUAAGCCUUCUGGGAAAUGAGAUGAUACAGUUGAGACAGGAAGAGAGAACAAGUUUUAGGGAGAACCUCCCAGUGAAUGGCGCAGGAGUCCUGGAGAGUGGGAAGUACUUCGUUUUUGAUAAUUCGGGGAGCCAGUCGUUCUUCAAAGCCUGGCCGUCUGCACUUGUUUAUUGCCUGCCGUGGGGCUCAGCCUUCCUAAGUGGCUUGUCUAGGGUGGGGAUGUUUGUGGGAGAUCUGCCCACCUAAAGUGUCAUAGAAUUGUCAAAGCACGGGGCUGGAGGGAUGGCUCAGCAGUUAAGAGCACUGGCUCUUCUUCCAGAGGACCCAGGUUCAAUUCCUAGCACCCACAGGGCAGCUCAAAACUGUCUGUAACUCCAGUUCCAGGGGAUCUGACACCCUCACACAGACAUGCAGGCAAAAUAACACUGCACUAAUGUACAUAAAAUUAAAAAAAAAAUUGUCCUAGCAGGCCAUCCAUGUGCAUUGACUAAUGUCAUCAAUAAGGAUGCCAGAGGACACAUGGCUUCCUUGGCUCUCACAGAGAACCUGAGACUCAGAACUGUCAUGCUUGUUACUUCCAAGAUCCCAAAGGUCAGGCCAGCUCUGACUCUAGGGAUAGUCUAGGAGUGUAUCCAGGCCUCCUACCUCUGUGACAUUGAAUGAGGCAGUAGAAGGAUGGUCCAUCUCUCCCAGCUUCAAGGCAUCACAGGCCAACCCUGGCCAGGGAAAUACACUUCGUCUUUCAUCCUGCAUGUAUUAGUCAGCUUCUUGUGGCUGUAACAAAACAUCCGAGCAAAGCCAACUUUAUAAAGCAAAGAGGUCUAUUUGACUCCCAGUUUUAGAGCUUUCAAAAUUCAAAAAAGCAUGACACAGGCUGUGGUGAAGGACACAUGGCAGAUGGCGGGAGCGUGUGUGGGAGGAAGGAUCACACCUCAGAGCGAGAUGGAGCUGGGCUUGUAUAACAGCCUUCCCACAAGAACUAACCAGGGAUCCAUGAGGAACGUCUCAGCUCUUCUUAGGAAGGCACAUCCGAGUGUACCUGAAAAUCCUCUUCUAGAAGCAGCCCCAUUUGUGCAUGCAUACAUGUGUGCCCUGUGGACAUACGUGUUUGCAAGUAUUCUGGUGAACGUGUAUAUAAACAUAUGUGUGCAAAGGUCAUACGUCGACACUGGGAGCCUUUCUUGAUUGAUUCCCACCUUCCCAAUUAAGGCAGGGUUUCUCAUUUGAACCCAGAGCUUGCCAGUACAAUCAAUCCAGCUGGCCAGGAUGCUCCAGGGAUGCCCUGUCUGCCUGCACCUGGUGUUUCCAUGGGCGCUGGGGGUGUGGACUCUGGUCUUCGUGCUCACAAAUUCUUGGCCCACAGAGCCAUCCCUCCAGCUCCUAGAUUCCUUCCUCUUAAAGGUGCCCCCAGGACUUCCCAACCCUGCCACCCUGAAGACCAAACUCCCAACACACCAUCCUCUGGGUGACAAGAACAGCUCUCUGCGCCACUAUUUCUCUCACACACGGACGGCUUCCCUUAUCGGGAGGUGUGGGUAGGAAGAAGUGCUCCUAUGAGUUGUCUGACGAUCCCAUCUCUUCUCAGCAACCUCCCCUCUCUGGGAGGGAUGACCAAGCUGUCAGGCUGGUGACCUUUGCCCCCCCCACUCUCACCUGGAAUAGAGGGAGGCCUGAGGGUGUCUUGGAAUGCUGAGGCACACAGGAUGAGCCUUUGUUUUGCUUGUGCCUGGGGCCAGCACCCCAUCAGAAAUCACUUGGAAUCUAAUUUUGUAACUGCGCAUCGAAUCCACGGUCUGAAAGAGCCUUUGACGAGUCCUCUUGCUCCCUCUGCCUUAUUAGACAACCCAGCCCCUGCUGAUGAGCAGACCCCCUGCAGACACAAAAUGCCAUGCUACCCAAGAGCCACAGUGGACUCUGGGGACCUCUGCCCGCAGGCAUUCUCUCCCUCUAUCCCUGAACCAGGGUAUUCUGCCACCCUUGUCAGGGAUGGAAUGGGGGUGGGGGUCCCUGCAUUCUUCUUGCAGAGGGGAAAGGAGUAGCCACAGAUGGUCACAUUGCAGCAAGAAGGGCCUGCAUUCCCAGAGGCUUCUGAGAGCUGCCUUUGAGAAGGGAGCAAGCGUGCCUCCGUUUCCUUCGCCCAGGUGCUGGUAGGGGAGGCGGAGGCACAAGUGAAACCAGUUCUCACCCUAUGUGCCUCAGCAUUCCAGCACCUGUGAUGCACCCCACACUUUUAGAAGGCAUUCACUCAGUGCCGGGGCCUGUGUCUCAGGAGAGAGAAGGGCACCCGUAUGCCCCUGACCACGUGACCCACGGCGACGGCCCACAGACAUACUGCCUGCCGUCUAUUCUGGAGAAGCGCUGUAUGGCCUCCUCGCUAUUUUGAGCAGGAGAACUUUGCGGAAAGUUCCAGUGCCUUAGAGGAGGAAGCGUUCACUCACACCGCCUUCCCUGCGGUUGCCGCAGUGCGAGCAGCCCUGUUGGCCUGCACUCAGGUCAGAGCAGGCACUGCAGACCGAGAAGCUGGGUGCCGUUCGCUCCGCUCUGGGAGAAAGGCCAAUCACCUGGUUGGUGCAGAGGAAAUGCCUCUGCCAGAGUGCCCUUCCCCAGUUCAAGCCCCUAACCAUAGGACAUGGUACUCACUACCAUUGAUUCAUCUGGGAACACAAAGCGUGCACUUGACUCCAGAGGCAAGUGGGCGCUCUCUGGUCUGUGGGAGAUGGUGCCGCUGGCCUGGACCACUGACAGUGAAGCCGCCUCUCGGCUACUAAGUGGAGGAAAUGGGGCUGGCGUGUGGCCCUCUGUUUUCAGGAUGCCUGACCUCUGUGCCAGCUUUACCUACAGGAGAGCCUAGCUGCCUGCACUCACCCAGGCUGUUUGCAGUGGUCCCUGUCAUUGACCUCUGCCGAGCCCUGCUCUUCCCACUGCUGUGAAUCCAAAUGAAGUUAGGGACUGAAGAAUAAAACACAGCAAAAGAGAAAAGCCUGUGUGUGUGUGUGUGUGUGUGUGUGUAGGGGGGUGGUUAUCCCAUCAAGACUGAGUUAGUCCUACCAAACCCUUGAAAGCAUCUGGGGACAAAUUUGACUUCAGGGACACAGUCUAGCUUCCUUUUCACCCACCCUUGUUUCUUAAGGACAGUGGAGCAGCCAGAAUUGCCCCUCUGGGCGCUGGGAGAAAGGGUAGACUUUCAAAGGGAAGGGACUGAGACCAGAGCACCCUCAGUCUGUGCAGAUCCCAGAGAACACGAGCUGCUUCCUUCACGUCUACCCGCAGAGACGAGGUACCCAGGACCAGAGGGUGCCGGCUGCUUCCAUACUACCUGAGUGAACGCAGGGCCUGAAUGUGCUCGGCUCCUCAGUCAGGGUCGGGCCUCCACCUUGGUAGGCUGGCUUCUAGAAUUAGAGGAGAGAAGACAUGUUUGGCAGUCGGUUAUGUUUGUGUGCGUGUCAACGUGCCCUGGGGUUCGACCACCAUCUCUAAGCCUCAGAUGUCACCCCUUCCCGAAUCCUUGGUCUCAUGAUUGGCAAAGGCCAGAGCACCUGUGUCGGACUCCCAACCUGAUCACGUUUCGGCUGACUAAUGUCAACUGGUUAUCCGCCCGUUCUUACUCAGCCCCUUGACCUGAAAGUGUGGCAUGACAAUGCUUAUCCCCUGCCUUAAGGUGCCUGAAGGACCAGUGAGCGCCAAGGACACAGGCCCCCCAGGACUGUUCAUAGACUAGCCAGGAUCCCACAUGUUCCAGGGUAGACGGGGAGGCUGCUUCAACUCAGCCCACAGGCCUAGUCCACCCCUCGGCAGCUUCCUGAUUGGUUACCCUGCCUCCUUCGCUGGGCAGCAGCAGGGUGUAGGGAGCCAGCUCAAGACUGCUCUCCACUCUGGUGAUGCUGCUUGGAGUCAGAGCACAGAGAGGGGCUCACGAAACAAGGAAGGCCUACUUCCUUCUCCAUCUCACCCUACACACCUAGGGCAAUGGCCCGAGAUGACUCUUUCAUGCCACCGACCCCCCUCCCCCCGCCCCCACGUGGUACCUCUGCGGCUAUCCCUGAGUUGGAUGGAUCUUGGCAGAGCCAUUCAGCAUUCUGCUCAGCCUGAUGCCCAAGGUGCCUUUGCAGCCAGUAUAGCAGAGUGGCUGGUGUUGCCUUGAAAAUACGGGACGCAUCUGCCCCCUAGUGGCAGGGUCAGGAGCAACUGCCGCUGCUUCCUGCUAGGCUUCGCAGCCUGGUGGCCAGACUUGAAGACCUUGGCAUUGGGUUAGCACGCGAUACAGACCCAAGCUGUGCCGCGAGGUGGGGGACACACUCUAGGGUCCUAGUCUUGGGUUUCACCCACACACUUAUUUGCUAAUAUGAAAAUAUGGAUUGCCUUCAUGCGAGAGUAUAGCUGAGACAGACUAAGAGUGAUUCUGGCAGUCUGACACACAGACCUAGUCACUGAAAAGUGAAGCUGGGCGACCAUGCACACAGAAGCACCUCCCAAAGAACUGAGAAGCAGGAAAGAGACCACAGGGUCACGCAGCUGCUUCUGCCUCGGACUCUAGAGGCUGCUGUAUACAAAGUAAGAUCCUCGUGUGAAGCCUUCACUCUUAAGGAGCUGCCCAGGCUGAAGGGUGACCUUUACAGUAAACGAUGCUGACAGCUCCACACCUUCCCAUGCAGAGGAGUGAAACUGGACCCCUGAUACCAUGUGCAGAAAUAAAGUCAAGAUACAUAGAGACUUCAGUGUAAACCUCGAAAGUGUCAGCCUAAUAAGGAAAAAAAAGGGGGGGGGGUUCCUUGACCUUCAUCUAUCUAGGCCAGUAGUUCUCAGCUUUCCUAAGGUGCAGCCCUUUAAUAUAGUUCCUCAGGUUGUGGUGAACCCCCCACCACCAUGAAAUUAUUUUCAUUGCUACUUCAUAACUGAUUUUGCUACUGUUGUGAGUCAUCAAACAAAUAUCUGACAUGCAAUCCCUGUGAAAGGGUGGGUCCACCCUCAGAGGGGUCUCAAGCCACUCGUCUAGGCAAUGGAUGUUGCCUCCAGACAAGGGUAGCAAGUGAAGAGACAAACACAUUGUAUCAAACUGACACCCUUCCACAGACAGGAAACAAGGAACAAAGUGAAGAGACAGACUGCAAAACAAGAGGGAAAAAAAAAACAAAACCCUGCAGCUGUAAAUUGCUAAGGUCUACUUUCUGCAGCGGGAAGGGAACACAGUAAUUUUAACCCUGGCCAAAUGGGCAAAUUGUGAGCCAUCCGUGAAUGUUCUGAUGAUGCGUAGAAGAGGUGACAGAGAUGUGAAUUAGAUGGAUGUAUUCAUCAUUUCACAACACACACACAUAUAUCCAAGUAUCGUAUUGGACACUUGAAAAAUAUACUUUAAGAAAUCUGGAGAACUGAAAAUCCCCUUUUGUUUUUCUCUAAAGCUACACAGAACAAGCCUAGGUAGGCCUGGAGUUGUCAUUCUAGCCAGUGUGGUAUUUGCUGGGGGCUCAAGCAGGACUCCUAAACUCUCCCUUCCCUUAGAGAUGCAGGGAGCUUUCACUGUCAUUAGCCAGGCUUUGAUUCCCAGCUCUGUUCACAUUCUGUGUUGAUGCGGGGCCCGUAAUUAAACACCCUAGUCAGAAGAGACAGGGAAGCAGGGCGCUAGAUAUUUAGACCCUGCCCCCUCUACUUAGUAGCCCUGUGACCUUGGUCAUGUCAUUGAAAAAAAAAUCCCUGUUUGUCACCUCAAGCCAUGCUCCUGGGGCUCACGGGUCACAAGUGAACUGGAGCACACGGCCCCUUGGGCUUUCCGCUGCCAUGUGGGGCUCUGUUCCAGCCAAGAUGAUGGCCUGGCUUCUGGAAAGGUGGCUCAAAGACACCUCUCCUUUUCUUAAAGGGAGAGAAUAAGCCCUUGCACUUGACACCUCUCACUCAGCUCCAACUGUGUGCUCCUGUGUCUCGAUCAUCCGGAGCUACACAACCUCAAGUUGAAUGACGUAGGAAGACGGCAUCAUGCUUCCCUUGAGUUCCCAGGCUGUGUGGAGCUGGAUGGGGCAAGUUUUCAGCUUGAUCCGACUGUUGCCAGGGCAAGAAACAUCCACAGUGGUAUCUCCAUGCACAUGCCUGGCCCUCUGCUCGGGUGUGGAACCAGCUAGGGACUGGCCAGGCAUAUCCCCUCUGAUGGUGGCUCCACCUGAGUCACUGAACCUUUGAUGUGGUGGCUCAAGGCUGCCAGAGCUACACAAGGUCUUCAGGGCACUGCUCACCAAUGUGUAUGUGCUCGUGACAUUCUGAUUAUGUCAUGUUGGCCAAUGAAGGUCAUAUGCCUAAUCGAACCAGAAGCUGACCCCCCUCAAAAACAGACAAACAAACAAACAAAGAAAUCCUGGGAAUUGUGACACUGGGUGCCACUGCAUUAACACGUGACAGCAGCCAAUUACAAUGCUGAUGUGAGGGAACCAUCAUAAAGUGGUCUGGCUAUUUUUCAUCCCAAGGAGAUUUAAGAUCCAGGAUGUAUUUUCAGAGGGGGGGGGAUUGUCCUAUGCAUAAAUGAUUUUCAGUUAUGAAAUUCUAAUGCUAGUUUUCUUUGCUAGAAUUUCUAAUGCUAGAAAUUCUAAUUCUAGUUUUCUUUCUGCUGCUGUGAUGAAAACCCUGAAGGAAGGAAAGAAAGAAAGAAAGAAAGAAAGAAAGAAAGAAAGAAAGAAAGAAAGAAAGAAAGAAAGAAAGCUAACCAUGGGGGGGAGGAAGGGAAGUUUUUAUGCUCAUAAUUCCAGGUUAUAGUCCAUCAUUACACAGAGGUCACAGUGGAAAUGGCUUGAAACAGCUGCUCAUGUCACACCCGCAAAUAAGAGCAGAGAAAUGGAUGAAUGAAUGUCCACUUGUUUGACUGUUUGCUUGCUUUAGUACGAUUUCUUCACUCUUUUCCAGUUUAGGCCCUCCUUUCUGCCUAAGGAAUGGUGCUACCCACAGUAGACCCUGUCUUCCCACAUCUAUUAACUUAAGUAAGGCAACCCCCACCCCAGGCCGACCCAAUGUAGACAAUCCCUCUCUUCUCAAGUGACUCCAGGUUAUGUCAGAUUGACUGUCAGAUUGACAAAGGUGACCGUCACAGCUUCCCUAACUUGAUGUGUCAGCUAAUAACAACAACGAAAAAGAGAGAUAAGCAGCUUUCUCGUUCUGCAGCUUUAGGAGCUGGUUCCCCCAACUCCAUCUUUCAGGCUGACAUCCAUUUACAAUAGUUCACUCCUUCAUCCCUCCUGGGAUGUCUGUCCUCACCCUACACUUUAUCAUCCAUCUUUCCUCUCAAAAGUGUCAGUGGGAGAAAGGCCACAGUAAGGACACCAGUAAUGAGGUCUAUGAUGGUAUGAGUGCCUCAAGUUGUCAGGUUGCUUGUCUCUAAACUCAAGCUCUAGAAUAAUAAUAAUUGAGAAAUAAUUCAAUGUCCAAUGUUAGCCUGGUAGUAUCAUUAUUUCUUUUGUUUUUAAAAUUAACUUAUUAUUUUAUAUGUAUGUGCAUGUUUUGGCUGCAAGUUUAUGCACCACAUGAGUGCCCAUUGUCCCUAGAGGCCAGAAAAAGGUGUCAGGUUCUCUGAAAAUGGAAUUAUGGAUAGGUGUGGUAAUAAUGAUGCAUGAGAACAAUUAAUAAUAAUGAUAUUAGUAGUAGUAGAAAGAGGAGGAGGAGAAUUCCCAGGCAUCAAUGUUAGUGUUUUUGCUAUAUAUUUCUCAUGUAGAAGCAUGGAUUAAUCAGACUCCCCAGACCAUUAACCUGCCUUUGUCUUAUUUUAUGUAUGAAUAUGCUUGUCUUUUUUUGGUUCCCACCUGUCAUGGGCACACAAGCUCACAGGCUUGAUGUACAUCUUCUUACAUAGAUGCACCCCUCCAAAGCAUGGAUUGCAAUCUCACACACAACAUGCUGAGUCUACAGAAAGGUAGAUACAGAAACAGCCAAAUUUAUAUGGAUUUUAGGCCCACCCAUGGCUAGAGAUGUGGUGGGGCAUGAUAUUAACCUCAAUGGCAUCUGUUUAGUCCUGUUCCCGUGACAACAUGACAAGCCUGGAACUCAUGAAUGGAUAGUGUGCCUGGUCCCAUAUACACAGCCUUUGUUGACUCCUACUUUACGCUACACCGUGAAUCGGGGAAGGAUUUUUAUUCCCAUACCAGGAUAUUUAUCCUCCCACAGAGUAUAAUUCAGUGACUGUUAGAGUGGAGUCCAGGUAAUGUGGCCACCAUCACUAAUCCUAGACUGACCCCAUCGCUCCUAAAAGAAACCUCAUUUCCAUCUGUAGACUCUCCCAUUUCCCUUUCUUCUUCUCUUCCAUAUCUUGAGGAGACCUCAGCUCAACUUUAUGUCCCCCUGUUGAGAGGAAGUCCCUCUCUCUCUUCCUUUCCUUCUUCCCUUUCUUCCAGUCUCUCUCUUUCAUUCUCUCCCCUCUUCCAUUUCUCUUUCUGUCCCUCCCCUCUCCCUCCUUUUCUUUCUUUUCCCUGUCCCUCCCUCCUUCCCUACUCCCCUGAAUUCCCCUCAUUCAAUUUUUCUUUCCUUCUCGAUAGCCCUCCCUUUUGGUCUUUCAUUUCCUUCCCCUCCCUUCCUAUAUCCUUCUCUCCCCUCCUUUUUCCUGCCCCCCUCCCUCUUUCUCUCUCCUUCCUUCUUUCCUGUGCGUAAAGCCAGGAGCCUAGAAGGGCAGCUUAUCUCAGGCAGGAGGCCAGGGUGCUUUCAGCCCUGUCUCCUUUUUCCUCCUGCAUUGCUGGUGAGGAUCAGCUGGCCACGCUCCUUCCUGGAAUGUGCAUGAUGAUAAUUGCCUCCUGCACAAUUAUCUGCCAAGCCCUGUCGGUAAUGAAAUGAAUGAUUUAGUUAUCCUUGUUAGGAAUAGCCCACAAAGCACAGAAAGAAACUCAUUACUGCAGCCACGAAGCAGGCAGGAAUGCCCUCGGAGGCACCUGUGAGUGGCUUUUACAAUUAGCUCUCUCUGCUCUGCCAGAGACCACAGCCCCCACCCAGCCCCCACCAUGCACCAAGUGCUGGAAGCAUCUAAAGGGAACCAAUAAGCAAGGCCAGGGCUAAGGCUCAGCUGCGGAGCUUGCCGGACAAACACAGGGCCUUGGGCCUGAAGUCCAACUCUGCAACAACUGUGAGGCUAGGCCGGGCUUCCUGUCUGGCAGCUUUGACCCACAUAUCAUGAAGCUGCUUUCUCCCAGUGCGUGGGGGCUAUUACUUGAAGCUUCGUGGUGACACAGUGCAAAGCCACUAGGGUUCUGGGGGAAGCUGGUUUGGCCAGAUAGAGGCAGGGCUCAAGUGGGCACAUCCUACCCAUGUUCCCAUCUCCCACUGCCUCUCUGGAUGCUUUCCGUUUCCAGUCAUGGCUCAGACAGCCACUCUACCCUAAAGGUCUCAGGGAGUAGUCCGUGAGAAGUGGUCUGCAUCAGGCCAGAACUGGAAUGGUGGAGGGCUUUCCAAUCUCUAAGUGAAGCAGAGUUUUUAAUUAGCAACUUACAAAAAUAAUGAUGAAACAAAUGGACUGACCAGAUUCUGUAAGAGGAACAUAAUUGCAGAUUCCACCGGGGUUAACAAGACAGGGUCGGCCCCUAACAAUUUCUGCUGUGUCCAGAGAGGCUGUCCACAGGACCUGAGAGGCACAGCCUUACAUAACAUUGAGACUGAGGAAGAUGAAUUGUGAAUCAAUGAGAGAGGGUACAUGGCGGUAUCCCUAAGAAGAAACUUCUCUGGGCAAUGCCAGCAUGUGCCCAGUAAAAGAUGGGGACAAAGCUCAGACUGGCUCUGUCAUCCUUGCUGCCACAACCAUUUUUUAAGGUUUUUUGAAAAUCACCAGUGGAACUCUUCUAUGGCAAUGAGGGCUUGGGAGGGGGGAGGACAGACUUUUCCUCAUAUUUGCAUUGGAGUGAGGACCGUUUCCCCAGGGUCCUUUGUUCUCAAAGAGACUGCUGAGGUAUGUAUCCCAAAGGUUAGAAAACCCUUGCUUUGGUCUUAAUGAAGGAUAGUUAUCAGGAAGAAAAGAAAGAAGGACAGAAGGAAGGACAGAAGGAAGGAAGGAAGGAAGGAAGGAAGGAAGGAAGGAAGGAAGGAAGAAAGGAAGGAAAGAAGGAAGGAAGGAAGGGAAGCAGGAAGGAAGGGAAGCAGGAAGGUGGGAGGGAGGAAGGGAAGGAGAGAGAAAGGGUGGAGAGGAGAGGGGUGAAGGAAGGGGCAAAGAGACGAGAGGAGGAAGAGGAAAUAGAGAAAGGAGGGAGAAAGGGUGGGAAUGGAGGAGAGACGGAUGGAGAAAGGUGGGAGAAUGAUGAGAGGAUGAAGGAAAGGAGGGAGGAGGAGACAGGGAGGAGAAGGAAGGGAGGGAGGAGGAAGGGGAGGGGGAUGGAGAGAGAGGGAAGGUUUUUUUUAUGGCUACUUGCACUGGAUUAUUGUCAGAUCCAAUAGGAAAAGGACUAUUUUGAAUGGGAUAGAUAAAGGCCGCCUCUUUUGCACAGCAAGGCUGAUUAUUAUCCACCCUGCAGGACAGCCCCUGGCCCGAUGAGCACAGUGCACCCCACUUAUCAAGUAUGUGGUUCUGCCCUCCAGGCUGUCUGGACCUAAAUCCCAGUCCUGCCCCUUACAAGCUGUGUAUUGCUGGGCAAAGUCUAUUAUACCAUUCUGUGCUGCAUUUCGCUCAUUAGCAAAGGUUUUGUGCAUACAAUUUCUAGUUCUCCACCUCGGGAGGAACCAUGUCUUUCCUGGGGAUCCCAGGGGCGGCUUGACUCAUUCAGCAUUGAGGCAGGUGAUCCAGAAUCUCCACACAGACUGCAGUGUUGUUCUAAGCAGGCUUGGGGCUGAAGCAUCAGUGUCUUUCUACUGUUGUUUGGGGUAGAGAAGAGUUCGAGGGUGGCGUCUAAGUCAAACUUCCUUCUCAGGUAUCUUCAGGACUGGCUGCAAAGUCCUCCUCUGUGCCCUAGCAGGACUGCUCCUCCCUUGGAGGGUGGGGAGGUCAAAAAGCCUGCCAUUGAAUUCCUGUCAGAAAUAGUCCCUGUUUCCCUUACUAUGGGAAACCAAUUGGUUACUGAGCUACCAUGGGCUUCAUCCAAGCAGAGGUUCUAGGUUAUAUCCAUACAUGAUAAAACAGGGUCAGAUGAAAGGGGAGGAGGUCCUCCCCAAUCAGUGGACUUGAAAAGGGGCAGGGAGAAGAUGAGGGAGGGUUUGGGAGGGAAUGAGGGAGUGGGAUACAGCUGGGAUACAGAGUUAAUAAAGUGUAACUAAUAAUAAAUAAAUAAGGAAAGAAAGAAAGAAAGAAAGAAAGAAAGAAAGAAAGAAAGAAAGAAAGAAAGAAAGAAAAAGAUUGAACAAGGUAAAACAACAACAACAACAAAAAUCAACUUCCUCUCAGUCUGGGAUACCAUCAGUUAGACACACCUCUCCCUAGUGUGGAUGGCCCACAAGACUAUGGGAACACGUAGAGAGGGGUCAGUGAGCACCUCUUUCCCAACAGACAUGACUCCAGUUCUUGAUCCAACCUGCUUUCCCUAGAGUAAAGAUGUUUGCCUUCCAAGAGCAGUACCUCCAGGAUUUAGUCCCGAGAUGCCAGCAUCAGGCUGUUCAAUGUAUGCAGUGGCCAACCGGCACAGGGAAUUUGCAGCCCACUCUCUGAUCAGACUUUGGGCAGUCCUGACAAUGAUUGCCAUGGGUUGGGAAGGGAACAAUGGUGUGUGUGGGGGUUGUCUUUGUUGCAGAUAAGCAAUGGUCUUAGGUUAACUUGUAGCAGGAAGUAAGAGAGGAAGCAAGAGCAUUUCAGACAUGUAGAAAUGGUUAGUGAGUACCAGGAAACGAGAGGGUCAGACUGGUCCAUGUGCAGAACAGUAUAUGAAUCUUCGGUGUGUGUGUGUGGUGGUGGGGUUCUGGGUAGAGCAAGGGCCAGCUAGAAACACUAUCUGAAUAAUUUAAGUGUGAUCCUUUAGGGUAGACAGCGGCACAUGAUAGGUGAAGAAGGGUGCAAGGGCUUGUCUUCUGAUUGCAGGCCAGCCAAGGAUCUUUCCAGACAAUGUCAUGGGCAGGGCAGGACAGAGCCAAGGGGUGACUGCAAAUGCAGUGUGUGCCCGUGUGUAUGUGUGUGUGUGUGCACGACCCAGAGUGUGGCAGCCACUGUCUUUUCUUGUCUUGAGGUCUCUUCAUUGUCUUGGCCCCAGGUGUGGAAGCUGGAACAUUCUCUGUUGGGUGUUUACAGAGCCAAAGUACAAGUCUGUCAGAAGGAGAAACUGAGGCACUCUUUUGUAAAGAGGCCAAUGGGAGGAGAUGUCCUGGGGGUACUGUGGACCCAGUUGCAGGUGUCAGCAGCCUGGGUGACUUAAUUCAGCGGGUUGGUUUCCAAACUGGGCUAUUUUUCCUUUGUCUUUGUAAAAAGAGGAGUGUGCAUUGUCCCCUGGAGAGCUGUUUAGACAUCCAUUUUAAUCUGAGCUCUUUGGGUGCAGGUUGAGGGGGGUGGGGUGGAAGGAAGGUUUGAUUUGAGUUUGCAGUGACUCCAGCUUUUCUUCAGACUGUUGGUGCAGGGGGAGCUAGAGGAGAAAUAAGGACUCCUUGGAUUGAGAAGGAGAUGCCUAACCCUUCAUCUCGGGAGAAAGAGACAGGGAGAAAAGAGACCCAAACCUGAGACAGGAAGGAGGAGCCUAAGCUGCGACAAGGAGAGUUCCAUGUGAUGCCUCGUGCACACUGCUUCUGUUUUGAUUAUUUGUUUGUUUGUUUGUUUUAAUUUUGAGACAAGACCUUUUCCAUGGACCCCAGGUCAGCCUUAAGUUCAUGUCAACCUGGUCAGAGCACCUUUGCUAAGAGAGGACUUUUUAAGACUGCAGGCACUAGGACGGCAGAAGACGGUCCACCUCUGUGUGGCGCUGUCCACUCAGAGCUGCUGCUGACCCCGUCCUCUGCUCCUUUGCUGUCUCUUAUUCUCUUUGACUGUAAGAAAAGCAGGAUGUAGAGCGAAAGUGGACAUAGAUGGCUUUGGGGACUGCGGUGUGUGUGUGUGUGUGUGUGUGUGUGUGUGAAGGGGUUGGGGCUUACACCAAAGCACAGAAUCCGAGAGUUUCUGGGCAAGGUGACGUCGUCGGGCAAGGUCCUGAGUCAGGGCGGAGGAUGCUCCAUCAGACGCCUGUCGGCCCGCACAGCUGGAGCAGCAAUCAUAGCUGCACUCACUGAGGAGCCAAGAGCAGCCCCUGGAAGGAGUAAGUAAAGCAAUGGGGGGAAUCAGAAGGCUUGGUGGGAGGUGGAAGGAGCCAGGGCUGCUCAGUCACAGCUGGCCUUAAUGUAGGAAACAAGAGGGAGAUGGAAGAGAGAUUAUCUCUGUGCCUACCUUUCUCUGUCCUCCACCCCCUACUUGAUAUUUCUCUCGCUGGAACUCUCCCACUUCGAAGCCACUGCUAGAGGCUGGAAAUACCAAAGGUGUGAACACAGCGACCUAUGGGGCCACAGCGUAUGGGUGGUGGGUGUCUGGUGUUCCAAAGCAAGCCUGCCUGGAUCCCUGUGGCCAUGCCAGAGAGAUGGGGAGGAGAUCUCAGGUUCAUAGACCCACAGAGGGAGGCAGGAAGUGCAGGCAGCAAGGGUUUAGACAAGAUGCAGAUCCUGUUUCUACUUACAGGUGCUCGCUUGGCAUACCCUGGAAAGCUGUGGCAUACACAUGCCUGGGGCCUCAGGAAACAAAGGUAUCCGGUACAGCUGGGUGUUGGCCCCAGGACCUGGCUCCUCGGGCUCCUCGGGCUCCUCGGGCUCCUCGGGCUCCUCACUCCUCAUCCAUGCGCCCUCAUAGAGGGGUGUCUGAACUUCCAGGAGACAGGGUUGGAUAAAGAAGGCCUCAAGAAUGGACACCUUCUCGGCUCCCUCUCUGGGUCUUUCUUCUGUAAGAAGCUGCAUCUGCUCCCCUUCUAGUGUUUCUGCCAUCAUGCUCUUCACCUGGUGGACCUGCGUGCUCUGGCUGAGAAGGAUCAGGUUGUGGCUGUCACUGCCCGUGCAUUCCUCCAUCUCUUCAUCAAGCAUCCCUUAUAGAUGGCUUUCAAAGCAGCCAUUGCUUUUCCAUGUAUCCUAGCCUCAUUAUCCUUUGCUUCAGCUUCCACCCGCAGACAUCUUCAAGAGACACUGGAAGAUGCGGACUUAAAGAGUAGGACCAGGGACCAGGACUAACACAGCUGUCCUCAUGGAGACGUGGGCAGAGGGCAGCAUAGCCCUCAGCAGAUCCUCAGAACUGCACUUCAUUGGAUAAACCAUCUCCUCCCUUCUGGAAUUCAGGAGGAAUGAAAUGGACUGAGGCUUCAUACCCAUGUCUCACGUGGAUUUAUAACUACUUGCUAACCUCUUGCCUCUACUAUAGUCCUUUAAUGAAAGGGUCUGUUUUGUUUUCAGUGGUCACUGUACUUGGCACCCACCUCCUCUCAACAGAUGUGUCUCCAGGGCUGGGAUUCUGCAACUGGUGGCCAUGACUGGUAAAGAACCCUGGAUGUAGACGAAGCCAAGGAUGGCUUGCUAUCUGACCUGCAGUAGAAACUUGCUUGGUUUGUGAUAUGGCUAUCAACAGCUACUCCCCAUGCCUCACAUAGCUUUUGGCUUAUCACCAUCUGUCUGUGCAUCUCUGUAGUUGUUUGAUUCCAUGGUAUGUUAUUUGGAUGAGAGAAAUGGCCAUGUGCGUUAGUCAGAAUUGUUUUCUGUCAACGUGUGGAUUUCUCAGUUUUGUUCACUCAUCCCUUCUAUAAAUAUUGGCAAAUAAAAUCAUCUA
Meriones unguiculatus (Mongolian gerbil) is the source of this 16071-nucleotide long non-coding RNA. RefSeq lists it as uncharacterized. The record is from RefSeq and is a predicted model, not a curated record. NCBI's taxonomy places the organism in Eukaryota, Metazoa, Chordata, Mammalia, Rodentia, Muridae. The transcript is spliced from 4 exons.